GUGGAUCAGUUUUGCGUGUUUUGU
RNAcentral lists this microRNA (24 nucleotides) under Ananas comosus (pineapple). RNAcentral describes it as "microRNA s0545_c69a". Lineage: Eukaryota; Viridiplantae; Streptophyta; Magnoliopsida; Poales; Bromeliaceae. The record is from RNAcentral.